This 457-nucleotide RNase P RNA is filed under the name Caldilineae bacterium. RNAcentral's name for it is "RNase P RNA component class A". It matches the Rfam family "Bacterial RNase P class A". From Rfam's summary of the family: Ribonuclease P (RNase P) is a ubiquitous endoribonuclease, found in archaea, bacteria and eukarya as well as chloroplasts and mitochondria. Its best characterised activity is the generation of mature 5'-ends of tRNAs by cleaving the 5'-leader elements of precursor-tRNAs. Lineage: Bacteria; Bacillati; Chloroflexota; Caldilineae. The record is from RNAcentral.
CAAGAACAGAGCACCGCCGCUGCCGGCUACGUCUGCAGCCGGUAGAGGAACUUCCCGACUCCCGGCCUGCAAGCUAACGCUGCAGGCAAGGUUGCCUCACGAAACAGCAAGUGAGGGCAUCUCUUCGGUAACGGAGAGAUGACUACAACCGCAACAGAAAGCAAUCCCGCCAGCGGCCUGCCCUAGGGCAGGUGCGGGUAAGGGCUGAAACGGUGGGGUAAGAGCCCACCAGCAGGCAUAGUAAUAUGUCUGGCUAGGCGAGCGUGCAACCGGGAGCAAGGCGAGUGGGUCGGGCCCGAGGGCUGACCUCGGCUCGGUCUCGUCGCAGUGAGCGCCGGUGAAGCCGGGUAACACCCGACAGGCCAGGCCUCACCACCCCCGUCGGGGGUGAGACAGAUGGCGGUGACAGGCGUCUUACGCCUGUUAACAGAAUCGGGAGUACUUCUGUUCUUGCCGA